Apodemus sylvaticus (European woodmouse) is the source of this 1904-nucleotide long non-coding RNA. RefSeq lists it as uncharacterized. Lineage: Eukaryota; Metazoa; Chordata; Mammalia; Rodentia; Muridae. The record is from RefSeq and is a predicted model, not a curated record. The transcript is spliced from 2 exons.
UUGACUUGGAACUCAAUAUGUACCAGGUUGGCAUCAAAGUCAGAGAGAUGCCCCUGCCUCUGCCUUCAUAGGACUAGAUUUAAAGGCAUGAGUCACCAGAGUAGGCUCAAACAGCAAUUUUUUUCUUAAUUAUUUCGUGUAUAUGUGUGUGUAUGUGUGUAUAUGUGUGUCUAUGUAUGUGUGUGUAUGUGUGUGAAUGUAUGUGUGUGUGCAUGCUCAUCCAUGUGCACACCAUAUAUGUGCAGUGCUCAAGAAAGCCAGAAGAAUUGAAUGUCUGGUCUCCUGAAAUUGAAGUUACAGUUGUUAGCUGCCCUAUGGAUGCUAAGAAUCGAACCCGGAUCCUCUGGAAGUGCUCCUAACCACUGAGUCAUCUCUCCAGCCUAAGCAAACAGCCAUUUUUAAAACCAAAUUCUACUAGAACAUGAUCCAAUUUUGCAUUAACCCGACACGUGCUGAAGCACAGCAGAGGGAAACAUGGAAUCGGUUCUCCACAGCGAGACCAUUGUUUCCCUAGAAGAGCAAGAAGCUUUGUACACACAGCGAGGACACAGCAACACUCUAGAUUGUGAUCUGGUGUUUCGAGCAUCACGUACAGGUGUUGCAUGGCGUCAUGGGAAGCUCGGCGCACAGUGCUCUGCAUUCAGAACCAGGGCUGCAGGUACAUCGUGAGCAGCAGAACCAAGGCUGCAGGUGCAUCGUGAGCAGCAGAACCAGGGCUGCAGGUACAUCAUGAGUGGCAGAACCAAGGCUGCAGGUGCAUCGUGAGCGGCAGAACCAGGGCCGCAGGUACAUCGUGAGCGGCAGAACCAGGGCCGCAGGUGCAUCGUGAGCGGCAGAACCAGGGCCGCAGGUGCAUCGUGAGCAGCAGAACCAGGGCCGCAGGUGCAUCGUGAGCGGCAGAACCAAGGCUGCAGGUGCAUCGUGAGCGGCAGAACCAAGGCUGCAGGUGCAUCGUGAGCGGCAGAACCAAGGCUGCAGGUGCAUCGUGAGCAGCAGAACCAGGGCCGCAAGUGCAUCGUGAGCGGCAGAACCAGGGCUGCAGGGACAUCGUGAGUGGCAGAACCAGGGCUGCAGGUGCAUCGUGAGCGGCAGUAGCAGGGCUGCAGGUGCAUUAUGAGCGACAGAACCAGGGCUGCAGGUGCAUCAUGAGCAGCAGUAGCAGUGCUGGCAGUAAACACCCACAUCUGUUGCCUAUCUGACUCUGAAUUAAUUUUUCUUGUUACUAUAUGUUUAGAAACCUUUUACCACACCUCCACAUUCAGCACAGUACAGGUUGUGAUCCACAGUUUGGGAGGCUAAGCCCCAGACCACCCAUCAAAAGCACCGAGAGGCGCCAGGAUCCUAGGACCCCCUGACGGACGGUGCUUAGCUACUCCCCUCCUCACGUGUUAUGGAAUGGAAGUGUGUGUCAUCUAAUUCUAUUAUGCAGUUCUCCACGAAUCUGCCUGGGCUGAAUAAGGGCUGACCAACAGUGGUCCCUUCUCUUGGAAAAAGACCACUCCUCGUGCCUACAGCUCUGACGCGCUUGCAGCCUGGUCGCAGGGCACUGCCCUGUCUUUCCUGCCCCAGCUGUCUACAGCGCUGAGUUGUCCCGAAGCAAGCUGUAUACUGCGAGCAACCUUACCUGCAUCGAAGAUGCUUUCCAUCGGUUGGUCGGUUAGAAAUUUGCUGCCAUGGAGAGUUGGAAGGGUGCAAAUCUAGAGCUAGAAUUAUUUGGGGGCUCUUGUUGGUUCUCUUUAUGAUAGCUAUUUAGUGUCCCCUUUCCCCAUGCCUGACAUCCAGCAUCGGAAUGUUUUAAUUUAGCAGAACACGAUCUGCCUGCCCUGUUCUGUAUUAAUUUGGUUACCUUGUGUGUCUCUCUCCAAGCUUACUGAGUAAAUAAAUAUAGGUAUUUCCAAGUUGUA